Molecule: ribosomal RNA, 376 nt
Filed under: uncultured bacterium
Lineage: Bacteria
Description: bacterial SSU rRNA
Rfam family: Bacterial small subunit ribosomal RNA
Source: RNAcentral
GACGAACCGUACAAACGUUAUUCGGAAUCACUGGGCUUAAAGGGUGCGUAGGCGGCGGCGCAAGUUGGGUGUGAAAUCCCUCGGCUCAACCGAGGAACUGCGCUCAAAACUGCGUUGCUUGAGGGAGAUAGAGGUGAGUGGAACUUAGGGUGGAGCGGUGAAAUGCGUUGAUAUCCUAAGGAACACCAGUGGCGAAAGCGACUCACUGGGUCUCUUCUGACGCUGAGGCACGAAAGCUAGGGUAGCGAACGGGAUUAGAUACCCCGGUAGUCCUAGCCGUAAACGAUGAGCACUGGGUUGAAGGGUCCUCCAUAGCCCUUCAGCCGUAGCGAAAGUGUUAAGUGCUCCGCCUGGGGAGUAUGGUCGCAAGGCUGAA